UACAGAGGGGGCAAGCGUUGUUCGGAAUUACUGGGCGUAAAGGGCGCGUAGGCGGCCUGCUAAGUCGAACGUGAAAUCCCCGGGCUCAACCCGGGAACUGCGUCCGAUACUGGUGGGCUUGAAUCCGGGAGAGGGAUGUGGAAUUCCAGGUGUAGCGGUGAAAUGCGUAGAUAUCUGGAGGAACACCGGUGGCGAAGGCGGCAUCCUGGACCAACACUGACACUGAGGAGCGAAAGCCAGGGGAGCAAACGGG
Molecule: ribosomal RNA, 253 nt
Filed under: uncultured bacterium
Lineage: Bacteria
Description: partial 16S ribosomal RNA
Rfam family: Bacterial small subunit ribosomal RNA
Source: RNAcentral